AAUCGGAGUGUACUUGUGCAUAUUGUUACUAAACUUAUCCAAGUGGGAGACUGUUGGAAUAGUGUCUAAGGCUGCAACUAUAUUAAGCAAGUAUUUGACCCGAUUGUUCAUGGUCCUUUUGGGUUGCCUGCACCAUAGCCACUUGACAGGAUGAUUUAUUAUGAGAGAAUAGAUAUUAUUAAUAUAUUAUGAGAAUAAUAUAACGAAUAAUAAUAUUGUUAUUUGAUUAAUAUAAGUCAAAGAUUAAUUAGUAUUAAUUUGGUGACUUAAAGAGAUUAAUUAAAUAAGAGGGUAUAAACUGUCAAUUAUUUUAUAGUUACACUUUAUAAAGGAUGGACGAAUUCUAGGGCUUAGGAUAGCCACAAAUUCAUCAAAGGCUUAUCUUUGGUAAGGAUUAGGAUUGCUUUGAGUAAAGAUUAUCCAACUAGGGUUUAAGGGUGGAACCCUAGGAGCCUUACAAGUAUAAAUAGACCCCUAGGGCAAGGGAGAUCGACACCUCUGCUAAAGCAAAGAAACCCUGGUCGAUUUCCUCCCUCCCCUCUCUCUCAAAUCAUCCUCUUGCUAGUUGGUGUUUGUAAGCCAUUAGAGGAGUGACAAUUGUGACUCUAGAGAUCCAAGACAACAAGAUCAAACAAGAGAUUCAAAGGUAAACUUCUAGAUCUGAUUUUGUAUUGUUCUUAUAUCUAAUUAGUCAUUAGAAGUCUUGGAUUCAAAGCAUGUUUAAUUAGAGAAACCUAGAUCCAAGCAUUAGAGUUUGCGUGUGCACAUAGGAAUGUUCAUAUGGCCAAAACCCAUCAGUUUCAACCGGAUACCAGGUCUAUUUCACCCCUACUACUACCCUAUAAUAUCAUAACAGGAACAACAAAGUCAUCAAACGAAUACAUGCAUAACUGACAAUUAUCACAAAGACAGUCAUCACACUACAUCGUAAACUAGUGGGCCGACAUUGCUGCCUUCGACCAACAGAUAUAAUGAAGCAAAACUCACCUCAGACUGAAGGUAUCAAAUCGAACUCGGCAGAUGACUAGCGAAAUCCUCUCCCUAAUGCCCAAGCAUAAAACCGUAAUUAGAAAUUAGGCAACAUUUUAACCCGAAGGUCCAAACCCUAAUUCUUGACUUAAGGCAAAAAGGGUGUAACAUCCAAAAAUUUCAUGAAAAUUUUAACUUUUUAAACAAUCGAAAUCAUCACUUGUUUGCAAAUUUUUUUUCCAAAACAUGUCUAUUAUCAUAGCUUUCCCAAAAUCAUAAACAAAAAAUGAGGAGGUGCAAGAUCAAGUCUUCGCCUUCCCGCGAUCAUCUAUGGUACCUGAAACAUAACCCAAAACUGUAAGCCUAAAGCUUAGUGACUUUCCCCGAANUCCCUCUCCUCUCUCUCAAAUCAUCCUCCUUGCUAGUUGGUGUUUGUAAGCCAUUAGAGGAGUGACAAUUGUGACUCUAGAGAUCCAAGACAACAAGAUCAAACAAGAGAUUCAAAGGUAAACUUCUAGAUCUGAUUUUGUAUUGUU
This 1505-nucleotide long non-coding RNA is filed under the name Lactuca sativa (garden lettuce). RNAcentral describes it as "long non-coding RNA (LSAT_LNC002303)". The record is from RNAcentral. Lineage: Eukaryota; Viridiplantae; Streptophyta; Magnoliopsida; Asterales; Asteraceae.